RNAcentral lists this ribosomal RNA (486 nucleotides) under uncultured bacterium. Its description in RNAcentral is "bacterial SSU rRNA". It matches the Rfam family "Bacterial small subunit ribosomal RNA", at positions 34 to 518 of the family's 1533-position model. The record is from RNAcentral.
CGCUGGCGGCGUGCUUAAUACAUGCAAGUCGAGCGAGCUACUUCGGUAGCGAGCGGCGCACGGGUGAGUAACGCGUAGAUGAUCUACCCUUGAGACGGAGAUACCUCCGGGAAACUGGAGUUAAUACCCGAUAACGCACAUUGAUUGGUUUUGAUGUGUUAAAGCGGUGCAAGUCGCACUUGAGGAUGAGUCUGCGGCCUAUCAGCUAGUUGGUGGGGUAACGGCCUACCAAGGCGAAGACGGGUAGCUGAUCUGAGAGGAUGAUCAGCCACAGUUGGGACUGAGACACCGGACCCAAACUCCGUACGGGAGGCAGCAGGUAGGGAAUAUUGCGCAAUGGGGGAACCCUGACGCAGCGACGCCGCGUGAGUGAUGACGGCCUUUUUGGUUGUAAAGCUCUGUAAAGAGGGAAAAAUGUUUAUGUGAAGAGCAUGAAUUGAUGGUACCUCUAAAGUAAGGACCGGCUAAAUACGUGCCAGCAGCUGC